This is a non-coding RNA of Phoenix dactylifera (date palm), 1432 nucleotides long. Lineage: Eukaryota; Viridiplantae; Streptophyta; Magnoliopsida; Arecales; Arecaceae. The record is from RefSeq and is a predicted model, not a curated record.
AUUUACAAAUAAUAUUUUUUUAAAAAAAUAAUUAGAACUUCAUCAGCAAUCAUGAGUUUUCAAUAAAUCGGAUGUAUCUUCCUCAUCUGAUCUACUCUUCAGACAAUUCAAGAUGUUUUGAAAAGCUAACCCGAUGUUAGAUAUAAUAAAAAAAAGUCUCACUCGAAAAUUCUAUCUAUACUAAUAAGUAUAAAAUUUCCUUCUACAAAACUUGAGCUUAUUGGGACACCUGGUCAGAGUCAAAUGCCACUUUGAAAUCUUUCAUGAAGUUGUGCUAGAGUAUGACCAGCAAUGGUUAGUUACACCACCAAUGACUGCAAGAGUAGCUCAACUACACAAGUCAAAUAUUAUGAGGGAGUCAGCUGCAGAUCCUUUUCUCCAUUUAUAUGGGAGAGUUAUGCCAUUUUGUAUUUGGUUUGUUGGGUGAUUUUGGAUUGGUGCUUUAAUCAUGCAUGCAUCUCCUCUCACAAAAGAGAUGGGGAGAAGACAAAGGCAUAGACCCACCAGUCCUCCCUCCAAGCCCUGUGAGCAUUCAUGUGAUGGGCCUCAGUAUUGGUGUCCCUUUAUAAAUCUUGUUUUUUUCCAUGAUGUUUGUGGCAUGCACAGUGACCAUCAUUUUGGUCCUGCAUGCAUAUGGAGAAGACUUUCCAGACCGACAGAUAGAAGAGACGAGAGGUGAAAGUAAAAAGCGUUAACCCCCCCAGAUCCCACACUCAGAAAGCCUUUCAGCCUCCAUUCCUCCACAGAACUUUAUCUGCCCCUCUCAAGGCUCCAACUCGCCCUCGGCCACCUUUUCUCCAUACCAUUUUUCCCACCUCCAUCUCCUCUUACUUCCCCCAGCAAAACUGAAGCCUCCUUGAUUCUCCCCUCUUUUAAACCACAAAAGAAAGAAAUCCUCCUCUUCCUCUGAAGAUAGCGAGUGAGAGAGGGAGAUGACUAACAAACUGGGAGCUCUCUCUCACUACCUCCUUUUCCUCCUCUUCAUAGCGACUCUUUCUGAUGGGCUGAGCUCAGAUCAUGGUCCGUCGAGCGACUCAGCAGCGAUGAAGCCAGUGGCUGUGCUCGGGACUUUGGCACUGAAUGAGACCAGAAGGAGGCUUGGGAGCUUCCAGCUAUGUGCUCUCUGUACCUGCUGCGGAGGUCCCCAAGGAAUCUGCCUCCCUUCUCCCUGCUGCUAUGCCAUCAACUGCCACAUACCUAAUAGACCCUUUGGCUUCUGCUCCUUUGCACCCAGGGCUUGCAACUGCUUUGGAUGCCAUCUCUGAUCCAUAUGUCUUCCAUCUUGUUUAUGCUUUUGGUCUCUACUUGCUUAGUUUUUACGUUGGAAGUUUUAACUUGGGGGGAAGACAGAAUGAUCGUCCCCCCUCCCUGUAGCCAAACGGCAUUGCCUCUGCGCAUUAGUACUUCAUUGACAGUAGCAUUAUUAUAAGAA